Molecule: ribosomal RNA, 255 nt
Filed under: uncultured bacterium
Lineage: Bacteria
Description: partial 16S ribosomal RNA
Rfam family: Bacterial small subunit ribosomal RNA
Source: RNAcentral
UACAGAGACUGCAAGCGUUGUUCGGAUUCAUUGGGCGUAAAGGGUCCGUAGGCGGUCGGUUAAGUCGGAUGUGAAAUCUCACAGCCUAACUGUGAACGGUCAUUCGAAACUAAUCGGCUAGAGGGCUGGAGAGGAGACUGGAAUUGUCGGUGUAGCAGUGAAAUGCGUAGAGAUCCGGAAGAACACCGGUGGCGAAGGCGGCCUGCUGGGCAGUUUAGCUGACACUGAGGCGCGAAAGCGUGGGGAGCAAACAGG